GAUGAACGCUGGCGGCGUGCCUAAUACAUGCAAGUCGAGCGAACAGAUGAGGAGCUUGCUCCUCUGACGUUAGCGGCGGACGGGUGAGUAACACGUGGAUAACCUACCUAUAAGACUGGGAUAACUUCGGGAAACCGGAGCUAAUACCGGAUAAUAUAUUGAACCGCAUGGUUCAAUAGUGAAAGACGGUUUUGCUGUCACUUAUAGAUGGAUCCGCGCCGCAUUAGCUAGUUGGUAAGGUAACGGCUUACCAAGGCGACGAUGCGUAGCCGACGUGAGAGGGUGAUCGGCCACACUGGAACUGAGACACGGUCCAGACUCCUACGGGAGGCAGCAGUAGGGAAUCUUCCGCAAUGGGCGAAAGCCUGACGGAGCAACGCCGCGUGAGUGAUGAAGGUCUUCGGAUCGUAAAACUCUGUUAUUAGGGAAGAACAAAUGUGUAAGUAACUAUGCACGUCUUGACGGUACCUAAUCAGAAAGCAACGGCUAACUACGUG
Molecule: ribosomal RNA, 497 nt
Filed under: uncultured bacterium
Lineage: Bacteria
Description: partial 16S ribosomal RNA
Rfam family: Bacterial small subunit ribosomal RNA
Source: RNAcentral